CGACGUCGAAGUAAAAGGAGGUGCAGGAAUUCCAGUGAAUUCUUGAACCAUGGCUCGGAAAUUAGUUGUAUCGGUAGUUAAAACAGUAGUUGGUGCACGUCUAGAUGCUCUGGAUCUUUUUUUUGGAUUACGACCAAUAUUGGUGGUGGUUUGAUCGGUAGAUGUGGAAGCAGAAGGUCUUAGUGUAGUUUCUGAGGGUUGAGGGAUUUGAACUGAAGGAAAAUGAGGUUUAUUUUGUGAUUGGUUGGUGAGAAAUUGCUGGGUUGGAGAAGAUGAGUCUAUUAAAGCAGAAAGAUCAGUGCAGUUGGUUUCAGAUCUUAAAUUUUUAGACCAGACCAUAUCAAGGUUAAGAAAUGGGUUUGUGAGUUGGGAAGGUAGUGAUCUAGUUGAUACAAAACAGACAAACACUAAAGACUAAACCCAUUCCCUACGUUGCAGUAAAUUACAUUUUUUUUGUUUUUCUUCUUGAAUUGUUUUAUUUUAUAUAUUAAUGUCAAAUAAUUUUAAAAAACAAAAUAAAAACUCAUGCAAGUGUGAUGGUACGAGGAAGAAACGUCCUUACAUAAUAUGGGCGUAUGUUAUAUUUAUUUUAUGUCCGUUAGAUCACAUUCUUGAUUCUUCUUACAAUAGUCAAACUCAAUAACUAAAAUACAUGACUAAAAUAAACCAAUUAAACAUUAAGAAAAAAAAUAAAUAAGCCAUGAAAUAUGUAAUAGGAUGUAUGAAAAUGGCCAAAUAAUAAUAAUAAUAAUAAAAGAGAAACAGAAAAAUAGAGAAACUAUAUAUUAUUUACAUUAAUUGAAAGAAAAAAAAAAUAGUAAUAAUGACAAAACAAUGUUCAUAUAAUUAUGUUGAAAGUCAUGGUUAAGAUGGAGAGACAGAAAAAAUAUUCUUCUCUUUCAUGCAUCAAAGAUACUCACCAUCAUUUCUUUUCUUUUCAUUCUCUUUGUGAUGGUCUAAUUAUGAUAAAACUUUCUUGAUAAUAAUCAUAAUAGUAGUAAUAAUAUUAGUGAUUAUGAUUUAAUAUAACUAGUCUGAAGAACAAAUCCAUGAUUCCACCAUACCUUCACUUCUUGUUGCCACAUUAAUCUCUGUUCCUUUAUCACUGUUACUAACUCUUGCAGAGUUAUUACUGUAAUUGCCAUUAAUAGACCUUAACAGCCCUUGUUGAUCACUCUCGUUAUUUGACCCGCCACCCCGGCCGCCGCUGCCAAGGCUGAUCACGCCAUCUCCUCCCCAGUUGUCAUUUCUUCUCAAUGUUGCAUCAGGUGAUGUCACUAUAUUUUGAAGCCCUGUAAGGUUUGUAGGACUAGUCACAUGGCCAUGCCCAUGGCUUAAACCGAACUCUUGUAUAACUCCCAUUUCUUGUUGCGGUUUAGUGGAGCCAAUAAUGGAAGAAUUUCCAAGUGGGUAUUUAGGUAGAAGAGAGUGAAGAUUAAAAAUUGGGUUUUGCAAAUUUAUGUCUAGGAGAUUAGUGUUAAUAUUCUGCGGCGAAUGAGAACAAGUGUUGUUGUUAGUUGAUGAAGAAGAUGAAAAAGGUGUUUGAAUUUUCUGUGCGGCAGGUCUUAAAAGGUAAUUAGGAGACGGCGAAGGGUCAAAAUGGGUAGAAGCUGAUCUUAAAGAAGAAGUGCCAAAUAGAUCAAGUCUAGUUCUUUGAAACGACGUCGAAGUAAAAGGAGGUGCAGGAAUUCCAGUGAAUUCUUGAACCAUGGCUCGGAAAUUAGUUGUAUCGGUAGUUAAAACAGUAGUUGGUGCACGUCUAGAUGCUCUGGAUCUUUUUUUUGGAUUACGACCAAUAUUGGUGGUGGUUUGAUCGGUAGAUGUGGAAGCAGAAGGUCUUAGUGUAGUUUCUGAGGGUUGAGGGAUUUGAACUGAAGGAAAAUGAGGUUUAUUUUGUGAUUGGUUGGUGAGAAAUUGCUGGGUUGGAGAAGAUGAGUCUAUUAAAGCAGAAAGAUCAGUGCAGUUGGUUUCAGAUCUUAAAUUUUUAGACCAGACCAUAUCAAG
This 2004-nucleotide long non-coding RNA is filed under the name Jatropha curcas. RNAcentral's name for it is "long non-coding RNA (JCUR_LNC000061)". Lineage: Eukaryota; Viridiplantae; Streptophyta; Magnoliopsida; Malpighiales; Euphorbiaceae. The record is from RNAcentral.